GAUGAACGCUGGCGGCGUGCCUAAUACAUGCAAGUCGAGCGAACAGACGAGGAGCUUGCUCCUCUGACGUUAGCGGCGGACGGGUGAGUAACACGUGGAUAACCUACCUAUAAGACUGGGAUAACUUCGGGAAACCGGAGCUAAUACCGGAUAAUAUAUUGAACCGCAUGGUUCAAUAGUGAAAGACGGUUUUGCUGUCACUUAUAGAUGGAUCCGCGCCGCAUUAGCUAGUUGGUAAGGUAACGGCUUACCAAGGCAACGAUGCGUAGCCGACCUGAGAGGGUGAUCGGCCACACGGGACCUGAGACACGGCCCAGACUCCGACGGGAGGCAGCAGUAGGGAAUCUUCCGCAAGGGGCGAAAGCUUGACGGAGCAACGCCGGGUGAGUGAUGAAGGUUUUCGGAUCGUAAACCCCUUUUAUUAGGGAAAAACAAAUGUGUAAGUAACUAUGCACGUCUUGACGGUACCAAACCAGAAAGCCCCGGCUAACUACGU
Molecule: ribosomal RNA, 496 nt
Filed under: uncultured bacterium
Lineage: Bacteria
Description: partial 16S ribosomal RNA
Rfam family: Bacterial small subunit ribosomal RNA
Source: RNAcentral